Molecule: non-coding RNA, 119 nt
Organism: Picea glauca (white spruce)
Lineage: Eukaryota; Viridiplantae; Streptophyta; Pinopsida; Pinales; Pinaceae
Source: Rfam
AAUGUAAUACCUACAAAUUCAAUGGAAAAAAUAUGAUUAGAAGUAUGUAUUUAAGCAUGCUUUGUCUAGAGUAGUACUAUGAUGGGUAACCUCCUAGGAAAUCCAAGUGUUUUACAUGC